Populus euphratica (Euphrates poplar) is the source of this 592-nucleotide long non-coding RNA. RefSeq lists it as uncharacterized. The transcript has 2 exons. NCBI's taxonomy places the organism in Eukaryota, Viridiplantae, Streptophyta, Magnoliopsida, Malpighiales, Salicaceae. The record is from RefSeq and is a predicted model, not a curated record.
GGAGACCGUGAUCCAAUAAAAACUAUCCACGUCAGAAUAAUGUAUCAAAACCAUCAGAAUCUCUCCUCUUUAUAUGCUUUACUUCCAAGCUAACAAUUCUCAUAUUGGUAACGUUCAACUUUAUUUACUGUGUUUGUUUCCCUUAACGCAACUCCAAGAUUCAAAAACACGCCAAGUUCUUGAAAGACAGCUAGCAAAGAUGUGCUGUGGGAAGAGGGUGUGCGUGUUGUGCACAUGUGUGGUAUUGGUGGCGAUCCUGAUAGGGUUGUUGUUUGGUUUUGGAAUUUACAAGAAUGGGUUUCACAAGUUGAAGGAUGCUUUUCAUGAAUGUGAUUCUAGUGUCAAUGGUUCACUUUGUGGAGCUGGAAUUGGAAGGCCUUUCAUGGCUAUUGUUGAAAGGACCAAUGUCUCAUUGUUCUCAGAUUUGUUAAAUUGAAACAGAUGCCUUGCAGCGUAUCUGAUCUUGCAAUGGGGUUGAAGAUCAUGACUUUCCACACAGCUGUGUUAAUUUGUGUUCAUUUCGACACACAUUUAUCCUCCAAAACUAGUUCAAAAUGGACAUCUCAAGAUGAACGAAAUUGCCCCUUUUGCA